UUACAGCCGUUCCAGCGAAUA
Molecule: non-coding RNA, 21 nt
Filed under: Caenorhabditis elegans
Lineage: Eukaryota; Metazoa; Nematoda; Chromadorea; Rhabditida; Rhabditidae
Source: RNAcentral